GAAAAACAGGUGUAAAUCAGGCUGGACUGAAUGUCCAACGCCAGAGCUCAGGGCCAUCCAGCGAGGGCGGACCACGGUGGGCCCCUCCAUACGAGCGCAGCCUCCGGGGGGAGGAAGGCUCCCUGGGGCCGGGGCAGUGCCUCACAAGGGGCCUGUGGGCCCUUCCUCUCUGCGUUCCAGGUGCCCUGUGCUUUGCAGAGCUUGGCACAAUGAUCACCAAGUCAGGGGGAGAGUAUCCCUACCUGAUGGAGGCCUACGGGCCCAUCCCCGCCUACCUCUUCUCCUGGGCCAGCCUGAUCGUCAUCAAGCCCUCGUCCUUCGCCAUCAUCUGCCUCAGCUUCUCCGAGUAUGUGUGCGCGCCCUUCUAUGCGGGCUGCAAGCCUCCUCAAAUCGUUGUGAAAUGCCUGGCCGCCGCCGCCAUCUUGUUCAUCUCGACAGUGAACUCACUGAGCGUGCGGCUGGGAAGCUACGUCCAGAACAUCUUCACUGCGGCCAAGCUGGUGAUCGUGGCCAUCAUCAUCAUCAGCGGGCUCGUGCUCCUGGCCCAAGGAAACACAAAGAAUUUUGAUAAUUCUUUCGAGGGCGCCCAGCUGUCUGUGGGAGCCAUCAGUCUGGCGUUUUACAAUGGACUCUGGGCCUAUGAUGGAUGGAAUCAACUCAAUUACAUCACAGAAGAACUUAGAAACCCUUACAGAAACCUGCCUUUGGCCAUUAUCAUCGGGAUCCCCCUGGUGACGGCGUGCUACAUCCUCAUGAACGUGUCCUACUUCACCGUGAUGACUGCCACCGAACUCCUGCAGUCCCAGGCCGUGGCUGUGACAUUUGGUGACCGUGUUCUCUAUCCUGCUUCUUGGAUCGUUCCACUUUUUGUGGCAUUUUCAACCAU
RNAcentral lists this small RNA (886 nucleotides) under Pan troglodytes (chimpanzee). Its description in RNAcentral is "retained intron". Lineage: Eukaryota; Metazoa; Chordata; Mammalia; Primates; Hominidae. The record is from RNAcentral.